Molecule: unclassified non-coding RNA, 344 nt
Filed under: soil metagenome
Description: partial contains 5.8S ribosomal RNA, internal transcribed spacer 2, and large subunit ribosomal RNA
Rfam family: 5.8S ribosomal RNA (bases 1-120)
Source: RNAcentral
GAUGAAGAACGUAGCGAAAUGCGAUAAGUAAUGCGAAUUGCAGAAUUUCCGUGAGUCAUCGAAUCUUUGAACGCACAUUGCGCCACUGGUAUUCCGGUGGGCAUGCCUGUUCGAGCGUCAUUAUCCUCCCUCAAACCCCGGGUUUGGUGUUGGACCCAAGUUGUGUGAACAACUGGUCUCAAAGACAAUGACGGCGUCCGUGGGACCCUCGGUGCAACGAGCUUUUAGGAGCACGCAUCGAGUUGCAAGGACCUUCCGGGCCGGUCUCCUUUACCAUUUUACAAGGUUGACCUCGGAUCAGGUAGGAAUACCCGCUGAACUUAAGCAUAUCAAUAAGCGGAGGA